RNAcentral lists this ribosomal RNA (468 nucleotides) under uncultured bacterium. Its description in RNAcentral is "partial 16S ribosomal RNA". It matches the Rfam family "Bacterial small subunit ribosomal RNA", at positions 28 to 507 of the family's 1533-position model. The record is from RNAcentral.
GACGAACGCUGGCGGCGUGCUUAACACAUGCAAGUCGAACGGAAAGGCCCUGCUUUUGUGGGGUGCUCGAGUGGCGAACGGGUGAGUAACACGUGAGUAACCUGCCCUUGACUUUGGGAUAACUUCAGGAAACUGGGGCUAAUACCGGAUAGGAGCUCCUGCUGCAUGGUGGGGGUUGGAAAGUUUCGGCGGUUGGGGAUGGACUCGCGGCUUAUCAGCUUGUUGGUGGGGUAGUGGCUUACAAAGGCUUUGACGGGUAGCCGGCCUGGGAGGGUGACCGGCCACAUUGGGACUGAGAUACGGCCCAGACUCCUACGGGCGGCAGCAGUGGGGAAUAUUGCACAAUGGGCGGAAGCCUGAUGCAGCAACGCCGCGUGCGGGAUGACGGCCUUCGGGUUGUAAACCGCUUUCGCCUGUGACGAAGCGUGAGUGACGGUAAUGGGUAAAGAAGCACCGGCUAACUACGUG